CAGCAGCCGCGGUAAAACAGAGGGUGCGAGCGUUAAUCGGAUUUACUGGGCGUAAAGCGUGCGUAGGCGGCUUCUUAAGUCGGAUGUGAAAUCCCUGAGCUUAACUUAGGAAUUGCAUUCGAUACUGGGAAGCUAGAGUAUGGGAGAGGAUGGUAGAAUUCCAGGUGUAGCGAUGAAAUGCGUAGAGAUCUGGAGGAAUACCGAUGGCGAAGGCAGCCAUCUGGCCUAAUACUGACGCUGAGGUACGAAAGCAUGGGGAGCAAACAGGAUUAGAUACCCGUGUAGUCCCUGUCUCUUAUAC
RNAcentral lists this ribosomal RNA (301 nucleotides) under uncultured bacterium. RNAcentral describes it as "partial 16S ribosomal RNA". It matches the Rfam family "Bacterial small subunit ribosomal RNA", at positions 509 to 807 of the family's 1533-position model. The record is from RNAcentral.